Molecule: ribosomal RNA, 546 nt
Filed under: Triticum aestivum (bread wheat)
Lineage: Eukaryota; Viridiplantae; Streptophyta; Magnoliopsida; Poales; Poaceae
Description: partial small subunit ribosomal RNA
Source: RNAcentral
AUGGGGAAGACGAAGACUUGCUCCAGAAGCUUGUCUUACUCCUCGAGCUGGUGGGCUUAUGAUGGAGGACCUGCACUCUUGGCUCCACCAGCGCAGCCGCUGCCGCUUCUGCUUCUGCUCCCCGCUCACCCACAGCGCAGAGAAGAUGCUACUAGUAUCUCUCACAAGUUAACUAGAACAAUUGAAAGCAACAGUAGAUCAGAAAUUGCUUCUACUCUAGAGUACUCUCACCGGCAGCAUGAUCAAUUGUGUUUGAAAUUAAUGAACAAGUGCAAGGAUCAGAAAUUGGAGCUUCUUCUCACCGGCAGCAGCACAAGCAGGGUAGCUCCAGGCAGCAGCACGAGCAGGCCCGCCUGGGAGGAGCAGCAACUUGCAGACGAGCAGCAGGUCGAGGAGAGGAGUGGGGGAGACGACAGGGGCCUCGAGGUUGAGGAUGAGCUUCAAUUCCAGGCCCGCCGGGAGCUCCAGGUCCAGGCGCUCGAGACCCAGGCGCGCGCAGGUCCUGGCUGGCGGGAGGGGAUAGAGGCGCAGCCUUGGGCGGCGUAA